GGUCGUAAANNUCUGUUGUUAGGGAAGAACAAGUACCAGAGUAACUGCUGGUACCUUGACGGUACCUAACCAGAAAGCCACGGCUAACUACGUGCCAGCAGCCGCGGUAAUACGUAGGUGGCAAGCGUUGUCCGGAAUUAUUGGGCGUAAAGCGCGCGCAGGUGGUUCCUUAAGUCUGAU
RNAcentral lists this ribosomal RNA (180 nucleotides) under uncultured bacterium. Its description in RNAcentral is "partial 16S ribosomal RNA". It matches the Rfam family "Bacterial small subunit ribosomal RNA", at positions 421 to 593 of the family's 1533-position model. The record is from RNAcentral.